UACAGAGGGUGCAAGCGUUAAUCGGAAUUACUGGGCGUAAAGCGUGCGUAGACGGUUAUGUAAGUCAGGUGUGAAAGCCCCGGGCUCAACCUGGGAAUUGCAUUUGAGACUGCAUAGCUAGGGUGCGGAAGAGGGAAGCGGAAUUUCCGGUGUAGCGGUGAAAUGCGUAGAUAUCGGGAGGAACACCUAUGGCGAAGGCAGCUCGCUGGGACGUUACUGACGCUGAGACGCGAAAGCGUGGGGAGCAAACAGG
RNAcentral lists this ribosomal RNA (253 nucleotides) under uncultured bacterium. Its description in RNAcentral is "partial 16S ribosomal RNA". It matches the Rfam family "Bacterial small subunit ribosomal RNA", at positions 524 to 776 of the family's 1533-position model. The record is from RNAcentral.